UCUCCUCCCAGCGACUCUUUGUUUACAACAGCCCUCCUAACUUCCUCUUCCCCUCUGUGAAAAAGCUUCUCCUCUCAUGCUGCUCAAGACUUGCAAGUGGCUGGUCACGGUUACAGACCCCAAAUUGCAAUUCUUUACUGAUCCCAAAUGGUUUAUUUUCUGGGGAAAUAACUGGCUAUCUAUUUAUUUAAGGUCAACAUAGUAUGCAGACUGAAGUUCACAGCUCACCUAUGCUGAGAUCCCAUGUGGGUCAAGAGAUAAGAUGAAGAUGAUUUUGGCCCAGCAUGAACAUUCACACCACCUGUUGGGCCAAUGCAAGCACCUGAAUUAGGGACAAAUAACUUCAAAUGGCCAAGCUGGCUGCUCUGCUCUACUAAAGGAUGCCAGGCAGUAGUAGCAAUAUCCUCAGAGUGUGGCCUCUACAGGGGACUUUUUUCCCACAGAAAACAAAAAUGGAGAGAAGACCAAAAGGCAAAAGAAUCCAUGCGCAGAGGCUGGAUAAGAGAACAAGUGGAAAGAAGAAAGUCAGUGCCAGCAGGGAGCCCAAGAAACCCGGCAGGCAGCGAGCAGGUGGGGAUGGGCAGCAGGAGAGAGAGGGGGGAUGGGCAGGAGGAGGAGGAGGGAUGAGGAUGGGGAUGGGCAGCAGCAGCAGGAGAGGUAGGGAUGGCCAGCAGGCGGAGAAAAGGUGGGGAUGGGCAGCAGGAAGAGGAAAGGUGGGGAUGGAGAUGGGUGGCAGGAGGAGGAGGAGGGAUGGGGAUGGGCAGCAAGAGGAAGAGAAGUGGGGAUGGGGGUGGGUGGCAGGAGGAGGAGAGGCAGACAGGAAGGGAGGCAGCAUAACAGAGCAGCAAAGAGAAGGUGAGAAAAUGCACCUGGAAUUCAGACCAAAGAUGAGAAGAAGAAAGGAUAAGAGAGGAGGAGGUGCUCAGACCAGAGGGCCUGGCUGCUGGUAAAGGUGGAAGGAGAGCGUUGCACCACCUCUGUGGAGGGCCUUAGCAAUCACCAGUCAAGGUUACAGUGAGAUGCCUGUUUCUCACACAUAUUUCUUUUGUAAAUGAUUGUUCCUAUUUUCGGCCCCUUUUUCUAAUGACGUGUUUUUCCUAUCAGUUUCUAUGAGCUAACAUCAUAAAAAUGACUCAAUGAUAAAGGGAACUGAAUGAGGUGAGAGAACCGGCAUGUCUGGAGCCCAGACUGGGAAAGCUUCAGGAAUGGCCUGGGAGCCAUUCACACAUCACCAACUCCUCUCCUAUCCUUACACUGAGGAAGUGGAGCUUUGUUUUGAUUUAAUUUAGGUAAAACUUACACAAAAUAACAUGCACACAGGGUUCAGUUCCAGGAGUUACCACAGUUACAUCAGUGAGGCCACCACCCAAAGGAGAAUACGAAACAUUUCCAUCACCUCAAAAAAGUUCCCUCACGCCCUUGCCUCCCACCCCAAGAGGCAAUCACUGUUUGACUUCAAUCAGCAGUGACCACUCUCCUCCACGCCCACUCCCUUUUGGGUGCAGAGACGGUGACCAAAGUGAUAUUAUCUUGGAGGCUGGUCUGGAUGACACCACUUUAUAGGCUCGUGAGGGCUCAGCCCUAUAUAGAGAGGAGGAGAGAGUGGCUACCACACUAACCAAUGAUAUCUCAUAAAUGCAAAUAGGUAUUAAUGCUAAUUAUCUUCAACAGUAAUCAGAGUUCUAUAAAGACAAAUGAAGUCCCACCCACCUAUCAGGUAUGCACAGAACACCAAAAUGCAUCCUUAACUGUCUAUCACCAAUGAUUUUUCUUUCCCACUAAAAUACACUCACCUGGCUGUUUGGAUCUCCAAGUAAAUUACAUAUAUGUGGCACGAUCUUGCUUAGUGUUAAAGUAUGUGCU
Equus caballus (horse) is the source of this 1863-nucleotide long non-coding RNA. RefSeq lists it as uncharacterized. NCBI's taxonomy places the organism in Eukaryota, Metazoa, Chordata, Mammalia, Perissodactyla, Equidae. The record is from RefSeq and is a predicted model, not a curated record.